Non-coding RNA from Acanthosepion pharaonis, 109 nucleotides. The record is from the annotation of a GenBank genome assembly. NCBI's taxonomy places the organism in Eukaryota, Metazoa, Mollusca, Cephalopoda, Sepiida, Sepiidae.
UUACGGCUAUAUCAUGUUGAAAUACCAAUCCCCGUACGAUCAUGAAAGUUAAGCAACGUCAAGCAUGGUCAGUACCUGGAUGGGUGACCUCUUGCAAAUACCAGGUACU